Long non-coding RNA from Drosophila subpulchrella, 307 nucleotides. RefSeq lists it as uncharacterized. The record is from RefSeq and is a predicted model, not a curated record. Lineage: Eukaryota; Metazoa; Arthropoda; Insecta; Diptera; Drosophilidae. The transcript has 3 exons.
AUCCAUUUUAAUUGUGCGCAGCAGAGUUACUUUAAUCGUUUAGUUAAUAUAAUAAAGUCAGGUAUUCAAUGGGUUCCGUUAGCCGAAAGUGGAUGACGAAAUUAUUGUGGCAAAAAAAUCCCGAAAGGGGUUUAUAUACAGCUCUAAAAGAGCUUUGGCCAAGGACUCUGAAGACCUGGACAAAUGUUUGAGAAAGGCGAUGACGAACGUGAAAAACAAACUAACUAAACAAAAAAACAGAAAUACUAACAAUAAUUGUCCCCUUAUUGAAAAUCUGAAUAAUAAGAUUUAAUUAAAAUGAAUUAAA